Molecule: ribosomal RNA, 119 nt
Filed under: Phaseolus vulgaris (common bean)
Lineage: Eukaryota; Viridiplantae; Streptophyta; Magnoliopsida; Fabales; Fabaceae
Source: RNAcentral
NNNUGCGAUCAUACCAGCACUAAUGCACCAGAUCCCAUCAGAACUCCGCAGUCAAGCGUGCUUGAGCGAGAGUAGUAGUAGGAUGGGUUACCUCCUGGGAAGUCCUCAUGUUGCACUUC